RNAcentral lists this ribosomal RNA (1090 nucleotides) under Agrococcus versicolor. RNAcentral's name for it is "bacterial SSU rRNA". It matches the Rfam family "Bacterial small subunit ribosomal RNA", at positions 60 to 1160 of the family's 1533-position model. The record is from RNAcentral. Lineage: Bacteria; Bacillati; Actinomycetota; Actinomycetes; Micrococcales; Microbacteriaceae.
AGUCGAACGAUGAAGGAGGAGCUUGCUCCUCUGGAUUAGUGGCGAACGGGUGAGUAACACGUGAGCAAUCUGCCCCUGACUCUGGGAUAAGCGUUGGAAACGACGUCUAAUACCGGAUACGAGCUGAGAAGGCAUCUUCAGCAGCUGGAAAGAACUUCGGUCAGGGAUGAGCUCGCGGCCUAUCAGGUAGUUGGUGAGGUAAUGGCUCACCAAGCCUACGACGGGUAGCCGGCCUGAGAGGGUGACCGGCCACACUGGGACUGAGACACGGCCCAGACUCCUACGGGAGGCAGCAGUGGGGAAUAUUGCACAAUGGGCGAAAGCCUGAUGCAGCAACGCCGCGUGAGGGACGAAGGCCUUCGGGUCGUAAACCUCUUUUAGCAGGGAAGAAGCGAAAGUGACGGUACCUGCAGAAAAAGCACCGGCUAACUACGUGCCAGCAGCCGCGGUAAUACGUAGGGUGCGAGCGUUAUCCGGAAUUAUUGGGCGUAAAGAGCUCGUAGGCGGUCUGUCGCGUCUGCUGUGAAAUCCCGAGGCUCAACCUCGGGCUUGCAGUGGGUACGGGCAGACUAGAGUGCGGUAGGGGAGAUUGGAAUUCCUGGUGUAGCGGUGGAAUGCGCAGAUAUCAGGAGGAACACCGAUGGCGAAGGCAGAUCUCUGGGCCGUUACUGACGCUGAGGAGCGAAAGCGUGGGGAGCAAACAGGCUUAGAUACCCUGGUAGUCCACGCCGUAAACGUUGGGAACUAGAUGUGGGGACCAUUCCACGGUCUCCGUGUCGUAGCUAACGCAUUAAGUUCCCCGCCUGGGGAGUACGGCCGCAAGGCUAAAACUCAAAGGAAUUGACGGGGGCCCGCACAAGCGGCGGAGCAUGCGGAUUAAUUCGAUGCAACGCGAAGAACCUUACCAAGGCUUGACAUAUACGAGAACGCACUGGAGACAGUGAACUCUUUGGACACUCGUAAACAGGUGGUGCAUGGUUGUCGUCAGCUCGUGUCGUGAGAUGUUGGGUUAAGUCCCGCAACGAGCGCAACCCUCGUCCUAUGUUGCCAGCACGUCAUGGUGGGAACUCAUGGGAUACUGCCGGGGUCA